GGUCUGCUAGGCCUUGCCCUCCUGUCUGUGGUGGGAGCCUGGGUCUAGUUUAGCAAAUAAGAUACAAGUAGAGGUAAUGUGGUUACUUCUUGGCUGGAGCAUUUCGUUGUCUGUUUGAGGUUGCUGAGAGCUCUCUUUCCCUCUGCCGUGGUGACCAAUAGCAUGUAAGAUGGAACAUAUACCCAAAGCAACAUGGAACGAGCUUUGACUCUUGAUCGGCAAAUAGCCGGAAAGAAAACUGAACCUUUAUUAUUAUAAGUGACUAAGUUGUGUUACUAUAUCAUAACCUAGUCUUUCCUGUUACAAUAACUUUGAGGAAUAUGAUUUGUUUGUAUAUUGCUAAGGGCUGAAUUGUGUCUCCCCAGAAUUUAUAUGAUGAAGCCUACACUCUCAAUGUGACUGUAUCUGGAAAUAGGGUCUUCAGUAGGUAAUUAAGGCUAACAGAGAUCAUGAAGGUGGAACCAUAAUCCCAUUGGACUGUGGCCUUGUAAGAAGAGAAAGAUCUCUCCUUCUCUUUCUCUCUCUCUCUCUCUCUUUCCCAUCUCCCUAUUUUUAUUUCUUUCUGAAUUUUCAUUUCUCUCUUUCUCUCCACUCCCCUCCCCCACUUAGGGACACAUGAAGACCAAGGCCGUCUGCAAGCCAGGAGGAGAACUCUCCUCAGAACCCGACCACCUGUGGCAUUCUGAUCUGGGACUUUCAGUCUCUGAACUAUACAGACUUUUAAUGAUAACACAAACCAUUUCUGUACUUCACGAACUGAAACGGCGAUUUGUGGUGUGGCAUCGUGCUCAGUCUUCCUCGAGUGUUCCCUGAGAUGGAGGCCUUCUCCUUCACCUCCAUCUGUCCUGAUUGCAACCAACACUUUAAAAACCUUCCAGUUGCACGCAAUGGAACAUAAAUACAUGCUACAUUGCAUGUGGUAAUGGUUAAAGUAUUAUUUGUUCUGGGUGGUGAUGUAAAGUAGAUUUCUUACCAAGGCAUGUAUUAAAAUGUUUGAGAACUAGUAUCUUAAUGUAUAUAUUUGGGCUGAGUGUUGGAUGUCUCCUUUUAAUAUCAUCAGUGUGCCUCUAUGAUGGAGUAUUUA
Long non-coding RNA from Acinonyx jubatus (cheetah), 1084 nucleotides. RefSeq lists it as uncharacterized. NCBI's taxonomy places the organism in Eukaryota, Metazoa, Chordata, Mammalia, Carnivora, Felidae. The record is from RefSeq and is a predicted model, not a curated record. The transcript is spliced from 3 exons.